This 406-nucleotide ribosomal RNA is filed under the name uncultured bacterium. Its description in RNAcentral is "bacterial SSU rRNA". It matches the Rfam family "Bacterial small subunit ribosomal RNA", at positions 151 to 573 of the family's 1533-position model. The record is from RNAcentral.
UGGAAACGACUGCUAAUACCGCAUAAGCCCACGGGUCGGCAUCGACCUGAGGGAAAAGGAGCAAUCCGCUUUGAGAUGGCCUCGCGUCCGAUUAGCUAGUUGGUGAGGUAACGGCCCACCAAGGCGACGAUCGGUAGCCGGACUGAGAGGUUGAACGGCCACAUUGGGACUGAGACACGGCCCAGACUCCUACGGGAGGCAGCAGUGGGGAAUAUUGCACAAUGGGGGAAACCCUGAUGCAGCGACGCCGCGUGGAGGAAGAAGGUCUUCGGAUUGUAAACUCCUGUUGUUGAGGAAGAUAAUGACGGUACUCAACAAGGAAGUGACGGCUAACUACGUGCCAGCAGCCGCGGUAAAACGUAGGUCACAAGCGUUGUCCGGAAUUACUGGGUGUAAAGGGAGCGCA